Molecule: ribosomal RNA, 250 nt
Filed under: uncultured prokaryote
Description: partial 16S ribosomal RNA
Rfam family: Bacterial small subunit ribosomal RNA
Source: RNAcentral
UACGUAUGGGGCAAGCGUUAUCCGGAUUUACUGGGUGUAAAGGGAGCGUAGACGGUACGGCAAGUCAGAAGUGAAAGCCCGGGGCUCAACCCCGGAACUGCUUUUGAAACUGUCGAACUAGAGUGCAGGAGAGGUAAGUGGAAUUCCUAGUGUAGCGGUGAAAUGCGUAGAUAUUAGGAGGAACACCAGUGGCGAAGGCGGCUUACUGGACUGUAACUGACGUUGAGGCUCGAAAGCGUGGGGAGCAAAC